AUAGCCAUUAUUUAUACGUUAAAGGUUUCAUUGAACUUAAGAAGGAUACAUAAAAAGGUUAUGGUGUAGUGUGUAAGUGGGUGGUCAUAAUUUUACACAUGACUUACAUCUGUUGUGUGUAGCGUACAUUCACAGGCAACGCUUGGUUAGUCAGGAGAGAGGCCAGGUAAACUUGAUUCGCACAGUCAGCCUCGUUCCGUUGAAGUUGAUGAUGCUAAGUUAAACUAGUCAGUAGUCUUGCAUCGGUCAGCGCACGGUACGCACGUAUCUCAAUCACGUGCAACAACCAACUUGUUUACAAAUAAAAGCCAGUGUAAACUCUAAGGAGUAUAGCUGAGACAGUGGCAUUGGUGCCCACGCUUGUUUUGUCGGAGCAGGCGCCUGCGUUACGGAACUGACUUUUAUAUAGACAAGUACUUAAUCGAUUUUGUGAUCAGUCUGUACUUCCGAAGA
Long non-coding RNA from Pararge aegeria (speckled wood butterfly), 453 nucleotides. RefSeq lists it as uncharacterized. Lineage: Eukaryota; Metazoa; Arthropoda; Insecta; Lepidoptera; Nymphalidae. The transcript is spliced from 3 exons. The record is from RefSeq and is a predicted model, not a curated record.